Molecule: ribosomal RNA, 392 nt
Filed under: uncultured bacterium
Lineage: Bacteria
Description: partial 16S ribosomal RNA
Rfam family: Bacterial small subunit ribosomal RNA
Source: RNAcentral
AUACGGAGGAUCCGAGCGUUAUCCGGAUUUAUUGGGUUUAAAGGGUGCGCAGGCGGCCAUUUAAGUCAGCGGUUAAAUCGUGGGGCUCAACCCCAUUCUGCCGUUGAUACUGGGUGGCUUGAUUGCGGUCGAGGUUGGCGGAAUUCGUUGUGUAGCGGUGAAAUGCAUAGAUAUGACGAAGAACACCGAUUGCGUAGGCAGCUGACCAGAUCGCAAAUGACGCUCAUGCACGAAAGUGCGGGGAUCGAACAGGAUUAGAUACCCUGGUAGGCCGCACAGUAAACGAUGAAUACUUGAUUUCGGCGAUAUAAUGUCGGAGGCAAAGCGAAAGCGAUAAGUAUUCCACCUGGGGAGUACGCCGGCAACGGUGAAACUCAAAUGAAUUGACUGGG